CAAUAGCGUAUAUUAAAGUUGUUGCAGUUAAAAAGCUCGUAGUUGGAUCUGUGGUGUGCGGUGGGCUCCGGGCACUUGUUGUCUGAGUAGCUCGCCGCUGCCAUCCUUGGGUGGAACCUGUGUGGCAUUAGGUUGUCGUGCAGGGGAUGCCCAUCGUUUACUGUGAAAAAAUUAGAGUGUUCAAAGCAGGCUUAUGCCGUUGAAUAUAUUAGCAUGGAAUAAUGAGAUAGGACUUUUUCGCUAUUUUGUUGGUUUGCGCGAAGAGGUAAUGAUUAAUAGGGACAGUUGGGGGUAUUCGUAUUCCAUUGUCGGAGGUGAAAUUCUUGGAUUUUUGGAAGACGAACUACUGCGAAAGCAUUUACCAAGGAUGUUUUCAUUAA
This 380-nucleotide ribosomal RNA is filed under the name uncultured eukaryote. RNAcentral's name for it is "partial 18S ribosomal RNA". It matches the Rfam family "Eukaryotic small subunit ribosomal RNA", at positions 592 to 976 of the family's 1831-position model. The record is from RNAcentral.